This 163-nucleotide ribosomal RNA is filed under the name uncultured bacterium. RNAcentral describes it as "partial 16S rRNA". It matches the Rfam family "Bacterial small subunit ribosomal RNA", at positions 355 to 511 of the family's 1533-position model. The record is from RNAcentral.
UAGGGAAUCUUCCACAAUGGACGCAAGUCUGAUGGAGCAACGCCGCGUGAGUGAGAAGGGUUUCGGCUCGUAAAGCUCUGUUGUUAAAGAAGAACGUGGGUAAGAGUAACUGUUUACCCAGUGACGGUAUUUAACCAGAAAGCCACGGCUAACUACGUGCCAG